AGAGUUUGAUCAUGGCUCAGAGCGAACGCUGGCGGCAGGCUUAACACAUGCAAGUCUAACGGACGCAGCAAUGCGUCAGUGGCAGACGGGUGAGUAACACGUGGGAACGUGCCCUUCGGUUCGGAACAACCCAGGGAAACUUGGGCUAAUACCGGAUACGUCCGCAAGGAGAAAGAUUUAUCGCCGAAGGAUCGGCCCGCGUCUGAUUAGCUUGUUGGUGAGGUAACGGCUCACCAAGGCGACGAUCAGUAGCUGGUCUGAGAGGAUGAUCAGCCACACUGGGACUGAGACACGGCCCAGACUCCUACGGGAGGCAGCAGUGGGGAAUAUUGGACAAUGGGCGCAAGCCUGAUCCAGCCAUGCCACGUGGGUGAUGAAGGCCUUAGGGUUGUAAAGCCCUUUCGGCGGGGAAGAUAAUGACGGUACCCGCAGAAGAAGCCCCGGCUAACUUCGUGCCAGCAGCCGCGGUAAUACGAAGGGGGUUAGCGUUGCUCGGAAUCACUGGGCGUAAAGCGCACGUAGGCGGAUUGCUAAGUCAGGGGUGAAAUCCUGGAGCUCAACUCCAGAACUGCCCUUGAUACUGGCGACCUUGAGUCCGGGAGAGGUGAGUGGAACUGCGAGUGUAGAGGUGAAAUUCGUAGAUAUUCGCAAGAGCACCAGUGGCGAAAACGGCUCACUGGCCCGGUACUGACGCUGAGGUGCGAAAGCGUGGGGAGCAAACAGGAUUAGAUACCCUAGUAGUCC
This 744-nucleotide ribosomal RNA is filed under the name uncultured bacterium. Its description in RNAcentral is "bacterial SSU rRNA". It matches the Rfam family "Bacterial small subunit ribosomal RNA", at positions 8 to 796 of the family's 1533-position model. The record is from RNAcentral.